AGGCAAUCUCUGCUCAGAUGGCACUUGGUCAAUGAACCUUUUAAAGACAUCUGCAUAUAAAACAGUGUCUCACCAGCCUGGACAACAUAGUGAGUAUCCGUUUCUUUAAAAAAAAUAAAAUAAAAAUGAGCUGGGCUUGGUGGUGUACAGCUGUAGUCCAAGCUACUCAGAGGCAGAGGCAGGAGGAUCGCUUGAUCCAGGAGGUUGAGGCUGCAGUGAGCUGUGAUCCUGCCACUGCACUCCAGCCUGGGCGACAAACUGAAACUUUGUCUCUGAAAAUAAAAAAUAAAAUAAAUAAAACAGUGUCUCCCUGUCCAGCACUAGUUUCCCCUCUUUCUUUAUUUAAAAUUGUGGUAGCCUGGCCAACAUGGUGAAACCCCGUUUAGCUGGGAGGUAUUACUGGAGGGAGAGUCUCAAGCCAGGCACAAAAGGUGGGGAGGAUGUGGCUGACUCCAUGGGAUGAGUGGGAUCUGGAAUCAGACCCAGGACCUGAGCCAGAUUUGCUGCUUUGUAGCCAUGUGGACUUGGGAAAGUCUCCUGGAGCCUCAGUUUCUUCAUCUGUAAAAUGGGGCUAAUAACACUUGUCUCUGAGGGUUGCUAUGAGUUCUAUUGUUAGAAAUCUUCUCUGUUGGGCAUGGUGGCUCACGCCUGUGAUCCCAGCACUUUGGGAAGCUGUGGCUGGUGGAUCACCUGAGGUCAAGAGUUCGAGACCAGCCUGGCCAACAUGAUGAAACCCCAUUUCUACUAAAAAUACAAAAUGUAGCUGGGUCUGGUGGCAUGUGCCUGUAAUCCCAGCUACUCGGGAGGCUGAGGUAGGAGAAUCACUUGAAUCUGGGAGGUGGAGGUUGCAGUGAGCUGAGAUCGCACCACUGCACUCCAGCCUGGGAGACAGAGGGG
RNAcentral lists this long non-coding RNA (897 nucleotides) under Homo sapiens (human). RNAcentral's name for it is "non-protein coding lnc-YWHAG-1:1". The record is from RNAcentral. Lineage: Eukaryota; Metazoa; Chordata; Mammalia; Primates; Hominidae.